AGUCGACGGUGAGCCCAGCUUGCUGGGUGGAUCAGUGGCGAACGGGUGAGUAACACGUGAGCAACCUGCCCCUGACUCUGGGAUAAGCGCUGGAAACGGCGUCUAAUACUGGAUAUGUACCACGAUCGCAUGGUCUGUGGUUGGAAAGAUUUUUCGGUUGGGGAUGGGCUCGCGGCCUAUCAGCUUGUUGGUGAGGUAAUGGCUCACCAAGGCGUCGACGGGUAGCCGGCCUGAGAGGGUGACCGGCCACACUGGGACUGAGACACGGCCCAGACUCCUACGGGAGGCAGCAGUGGGGAAUAUUGCACAAUGGGCGCAAGCCUGAUGCAGCAACGCCGCGUGAGGGAUGACGGCCUUCGGGUUGUAAACCUCUUUUAGCAGGGAAGAAGCGAAAGUGACGGUACCUGCAGAAAAAGCGCCGGCUAACUACGUGCCAGCAGCCGCGGUAAUACGUAGGGCGCAAGCGUUAUCCGGAAUUAUUGGGCGUAAAGAGCUCGUAGGCGGUUUGUCGCGUCUGCUGUGAAAUCCGGAGGCUCAACCUCCGGCCUGCAGUGGGUACGGGCAGACUAGAGUG
This 574-nucleotide ribosomal RNA is filed under the name Microbacterium sp. SA39. RNAcentral describes it as "bacterial SSU rRNA". It matches the Rfam family "Bacterial small subunit ribosomal RNA", at positions 60 to 648 of the family's 1533-position model. The record is from RNAcentral. Lineage: Bacteria; Bacillati; Actinomycetota; Actinomycetes; Micrococcales; Microbacteriaceae.